GACCUGCCCACUGAUAAAAUUUAAGGGCCGCGGUAUUUUGACCGUGCAAAGGUAGCAUAAUCGUUAGUUUUUUAAUUGGAAUCUUGUAUGAAUGGUUGGACAAAGGAAAAUCUGUCUCUAUAGCUAUAAAGUGAAUUUAACUUUUAAGUGAAAAGGCUUAAAUGAAUUAAAGGGACGAUAAGACCCUAUAAAGCUUAAUAUGGAAAGUUAUUUAGUUUAGUUGAAUUUUUAUGAUAUAAGUUUAGUGAUUGAGAGUAUUGUAUUGGGGCGAUAAAGGUAAAAUGAUUAUUAACUGCUUAUUGUUUAAACAAAAGUAAGUGAUUGAAGUUGUAAAGGAUCCUAGUUGUGGAUUAAAAGAUUAAGUUACUUCAGGGAUAACAGCGUUAUUUUUUUUGAGAGUUCAUGUCGAGAAAAAAGUUUGCGACCUCGAUGUUGAAUUAAAAUAUCUGUACAAUUGCAGUAGU
RNAcentral lists this ribosomal RNA (464 nucleotides) under Cardisoma guanhumi. RNAcentral's name for it is "partial 16S ribosomal RNA". It matches the Rfam family "Archaeal large subunit ribosomal RNA", at positions 1946 to 2631 of the family's 2987-position model. The record is from RNAcentral. Lineage: Eukaryota; Metazoa; Arthropoda; Malacostraca; Decapoda; Gecarcinidae.